Panicum virgatum (switchgrass) is the source of this 971-nucleotide long non-coding RNA. RefSeq lists it as uncharacterized. The record is from RefSeq and is a predicted model, not a curated record. The transcript is spliced from 2 exons. Lineage: Eukaryota; Viridiplantae; Streptophyta; Magnoliopsida; Poales; Poaceae.
UCGCCACGCGGUUGCAGGCGUGUGGCCAUCGCCGUGCGCCCAAUCGACGAGCAGACCGAGUCCGGCACGUCUCUCCCUCCCUCUCCCGAAGUCUCCAGCACCGCCAGCUCUUUUUCCUCUCCAUUCUUUCCGUCUCUACCUCGAGCAGAGUCAACGAGCCGAGCAGAGCCCCGUCGCCGGUGCUGCGCCGGCCAGCUCUCGCCGUCCCGCGCCUUGAUUCCUCACGCCCCAACCCUCAUCGCCUCGCCUCUGAGCUCCUCCGUCCCUUCCCGAGCCCGGCCGCGCCCUAUUCCAGCCGGAAUCGACACCCCGCGCCACCAGAGUCCAUUAAAAUUUCGUCGAAACUCAGGCCGCCGUCGAACUCCACUUCCGGUCACCGUUUCCACCAACCCAUGGAUGAAAUCGACUCCCUAAAGCUCAUGCUCUCCUCGUUCUAGCGCGUUCCCGUUGUUUCCGCGCUCGUUCUACAGCCAUGCCAUCGAUGGCAUGCUGCUGCUCGUCGCGAGCCGCGCGCACGCGCCCCUGCGCCGCACCGCCGAGCACCCCCAGUCCGUCUGGCUUUGUUGAACCCUCCCAUGGCCGCCCCAUCACCAACCUGUCUCGCCGCAGGCGAGGGCGCCGCCGCCAUUGCCACUCGUGCUGCUGCUCCCGUCGCCGGCCCUCCUCCGGCCACCUCGGCAUCAACCAAGACCACCCAGAGGUACGCUAAAUGUGCGACACGUGGAACCGGAGGGCAAUGUUGAAGUCGAGCCAGAAGAUGAUGCACGGGUGGAUCAAUCCAGAAGACGGAAGGACCGACUGGAGUACAUGCUUGGACUGGGAUGAUGUCAAGCCGGUGCAAGACUACAAGCUAACUAACUGACUUUUUGUCAAACCCAGGCAAGCCCCGGAGCAUAACCCCCUAAUUUGAGUAUUCAAUGUUUAUUUAAGUAUUUGUGCAUUUAUAUUUUUAGGAGUUGUAUGGAACCCUA